UACGAAGGGGGCUAGCGUUGCUCGGAAUCACUGGGCGUAAAGGGUGCGUAGGCGGGUCUUUAAGUCAGGGGUGAAAUCCCGGGGCUCAACCCCGGAACUGCCUUUGAUACUGGUAGUCUCGAGUCCGGAAGAGGUGAGUGGAAUUCCGAGUGUAGAGGUGAAAUUCGUAGAUAUUCGGAGGAACACCAGUGGCGAAGGCGGCUCACUGGCCCGAUACUGACGCUGAGGCACGAAAGCGUGGGGAGCAAACAGG
Molecule: ribosomal RNA, 253 nt
Filed under: uncultured bacterium
Lineage: Bacteria
Description: partial 16S ribosomal RNA
Rfam family: Bacterial small subunit ribosomal RNA
Source: RNAcentral